This 324-nucleotide ribosomal RNA is filed under the name uncultured Bacillota bacterium. Its description in RNAcentral is "bacterial SSU rRNA". It matches the Rfam family "Bacterial small subunit ribosomal RNA", at positions 28 to 351 of the family's 1533-position model. The record is from RNAcentral. Lineage: Bacteria; Bacillati; Bacillota.
GACGAACGCUGGCGGCACGCCUAACACAUGCAAGUCGAGCGGAGAAUUAAGCUUGCUUAAUUUUUAGCGGCGGACGGGUGAGUAACACGUGAGCAACCUGCCUUUCAGAGGGGGAUAACGUUUGGAAACGAACGCUAAUACCGCAUAACGUACAGACAUCACAUGGUGAUUGUACCAAAGGAGUAAUCCGCUGAAAGAUGGGCUCGCGUCUGAUUAGCUAGUUGGUGAGGUAAUGGCUCACCAAGGCGACGAUCAGUAGCCGGACUGAGAGGUCGAUCGGCCACAUUGGGACUGAGACACGGCCCAGACUCCUACGGGAGGCAG